AGCGAACGCUGGCGGCAGGCCUAACACAUGCAAGUCGAACGGACCCUUCGGGGUUAGUGGCGGACGGGUGAGUAACACGUGGGAACGUGCCCUUUGGUUCGGAACAACUCAGGGAAACUUGAGCUAAUACCGAAUGUGCCCUUUGGGGGAAAGAUUUAUCGCCAUUGGAGCGGCCCGCGUCUGAUUAGCUAGUUGGUGGGGUAAUGGCCUACCAAGGCUACGAUCAGUAGCUGGUCUGAGAGGAUGAUCAGCCACAUUGGGACUGAGACACGGCCCAAACUCCUACGGGAGGCAGCAGUGGGGAAUCUUGCGCAAUGGGCGAAAGCCUGACGCAGCCAUGCCGCGUGAAUGAUGAAGGUCUUAGGAUUGUAAAAUUCUUUCACCGGGGACGAUAAUGACGGUACCCGGAGAAGAAGCCCCGGCUAACUUCGUGCCAGCCGCCGCCGUAA
Molecule: ribosomal RNA, 449 nt
Filed under: uncultured bacterium
Lineage: Bacteria
Description: partial 16S ribosomal RNA
Rfam family: Bacterial small subunit ribosomal RNA
Source: RNAcentral